CUGAGGUCUGACAGACGACCCCAGGGGCAGUCACCCACUGGUCACGCACAGAGACUAAACCCCAGCGUCCUCGGUUCCGUGCUAGCGUGGCCGCUGCAGUCUGAAACGUUCCCCCUGUGCCCUGAGACGCGGGGCUGUGUCUGCAAAGCACGGAGACGCGGUUCCGGCGCAGGCCGGUGUGCGUGUGACAUCUCACUGCAGGAGGGACACAUGGACAUCAGUCCUCCUCCCUGCCCUCCCCCGCCCGGGCUGGCAUUUAGCUCCUGGGAUGUCGGUUGACGUGUUCGAUCUGCAUCAGGGCACCGGGCAGCCAGGAAGGAAGGAAGCCCCAUGACACCUUGGCUGUGGCCUCCGAGGACUCAGAGAGGAGGACCCAGCUGACCAGGACCAGACGCCCAACAGGGAGGCUGUGAUGGAGAGGAGCGAGAAGCCGAAGCCGGGAGAUAGCGCGGAGAGCCAGUGCCGCAGAUGGCGUCACUUGGAGGACUGGGGACCUGGGACAAUUCAUCAUCACACCAGACGCUUCGGUCGGCGAGAUCAGAGCAACCGCCCUUAUCUGUCUACACUCAGCCACUGAGCCGCCUCUUCGGCAUCCAGACAAACGUUUCAUUAGCUGCCAUUCAUCAGCAAAUUGGGGUAAAGCCAUAGCCACACUGUGGUUUUCCGUUUAUGAACGGAUGGAACUACAGCACGGAUGUGGGUGGCUACCUUCUUUUACACGACACAAACCGGGUCAGAUGGCCGUGGCACGACCGAGCUGCCUGUCAGGACUUCACCGUUGUCAGCGAUGUCUCUGACUUCGUUGCUGAAUCAGCCGAUCAACAGACACUGCACCAGGCCCUGUUCCGAGCUUGCCGAUGUCCAGGGUGAAACCGCUCCCACCAUGGCCAGUUCCGAGUUGCCAACGUGACAUCACGGGAUGAGCGGUUGGGGGAGGCACGCGGUAGUGUUAGGGCAGGUGUAGGUGGGCAGCGCUAACCACGGGAAAAGGGCAGGGGCUGGGGGCAACAAUGAGGAGGACAAUGAGCUUCUAGAACCAAACCCGCAACACAGGAACUUGGGGUUGGGGACGUCCCGGCCAGGAGCACGCGCAGAAGCACAGUAGAAACUACACCCACCAGCACAGUCUCAGUUUACAGUUGUCAUGGCAACCCCUGGAGGUUACCCUAUAAGGAUAAAAUGGGGGGGGGGCUUAGUGUCAAUGGGGAAAGGUCACCUGGGGACAGGAGCUCCUGGCUUCUGGGCUUAGUUCUAAUAACUCUCCACCCUUUUCCCAGAGAAAUAAUGAAUAUUCCACGCACCAUCUAGCACAUCAUAAGGAGCAGACAUAAACGUAGAGGAAAUCAGCCUCGGGAGCCGAGCAGGAGCCUCAGAGCGGAGGUCCAGGGCUAAGGCAGCCCCGGGCCACAGAGUGCUGUCUUCCCUGGGGGUGGUGACCAGUCCAGGAAACACCUCCAAGUAUGGGUCUGGUGGCAAUGAAUUCUUCCACUCUUUCUUCAUCUGAAAAAAGACUUUUCUCAUGUUUAUUUUAUAAUAAAAAAAAUACUUUUACUUGACACAGGA
Long non-coding RNA from Lemur catta (Ring-tailed lemur), 1563 nucleotides. RefSeq lists it as uncharacterized. The record is from RefSeq and is a predicted model, not a curated record. NCBI's taxonomy places the organism in Eukaryota, Metazoa, Chordata, Mammalia, Primates, Lemuridae. The transcript has 6 exons.